GAUAUACUCCCACCGUCCGGAAAUACUUGUCAUCAAAAUGAAUAAAAGAGGAUGUAUCUAGAUGUAUUUUAGUUCUAGAUACAUCUUUUUUAUCCAUUUUGAUGACAAGUAUUUCCGGACGGAGGAAGUAUAAU
Molecule: non-coding RNA, 134 nt
Organism: Triticum aestivum (bread wheat)
Lineage: Eukaryota; Viridiplantae; Streptophyta; Magnoliopsida; Poales; Poaceae
Source: Rfam